Molecule: ribosomal RNA, 1145 nt
Filed under: uncultured Phialemonium
Lineage: Eukaryota; Fungi; Ascomycota
Description: eukaryotic LSU rRNA
Rfam family: Eukaryotic large subunit ribosomal RNA (bases 531-1145)
Source: RNAcentral
GAUAAGUCGUACCCAAGGUCCGUAGGUGACAGCGAGGGAUCAUGCUGAAUGUAGCAAACAUUAAACCCGUGUGAACAUUUGUAUAUCUGCCUGGCAGGUAAUCCCAGGGCGGGAUUCUGGGCCUCUCCGGGGCACUGCCAGCGGUGGAACAUUUCAUACUCUGAUUUACAGUGGAUUUUGAGUGUCUUCCAAAAUAAAUCAAAACUUUCAACAACGGAUCUCUUGGUUCUGGCAUCGAUGAAGAACGCAGCGAAAUGCGAUAAGUAAUGUGAAUUGCAGAAUUCAGUGAAUCAUCGAAUCUUUGAACGCACACUGCACCUAUUAGUAUUCUAGUAGGUAUGCCUGUUCGAGCGUCAUUUCAAACCUCAAGCGUCUGCUUGCUGUUGGAGCAUUGCGUACUUUCUCUCUUGAGAAUCGCAAGCCCUGAAUUAUAGUGGCGGAGCUGCUGUAGACUCUGAGCGUAGUACUACUAAUCGCUUUUGAAAUCUCGGUGGUGCCUGCCGUAAAACCCACUAUAUUUUCUCUUUGUUUGACCUCGGAUCAGGUAGGAAUACCCGCUGAACUUAAGCAUAUCAAUAAGCGGAGGAAAAGAAACCAACAGGGAUUGCCCUAGUAACGGCGAGUGAAGCGGCAACAGCUCAGAUUUGAAAUCUGGUCCUUGGACCCGAAUUGUAAUCUGCAGAGGUAGCUUCGGGCGCGGCGUCUUCUGAGUCCCCUGGAACGGGGCGCCAUAGAGGGUGAGAGCCCCGUACGGUCGACCGCUAAGCCUAUGUGAAGCUCCUUCGACGAGUCGAGUAGUUUGGGAAUGCUGCUCAAAAUGGGAGGUAAAUUUCUUCUAAAGCUAAAUACUGGCCAGAGACCGAUAGCGCACAAGUAGAGUGAUCGAAAGAUGAAAAGCACUUUGAAAAGAGGGUUAAAAAGCACGUGAAAUUGUUGAAAGGGAAGCGCCUAUGACCAGACUUGUGUCUGGCGGCUCCGUAAGCCUUCUGGCUUGCGUACUCCGCCUGAUUCAGGCCAGCAUCGGUUUCUGGAGGGGGACAAAAGCAGCUGGAACGUAGCUCUCUUCGGGGAGUGUUAUAGCCUGUUGCAUAAUACCCUUCUGGGGACCGUGGAUCGCGCUCGCAAGGAGCUGUCAAGGCUGUGGG